UGGGGAAUUUUGGACAAUGGGGGAAACCCUGAUCCAGCCAUCCCGCGUGUGCGAUGAAGGCCUUCGGGUUGUAAAGCACUUUUGGCAGGAAAGAAACGUCAUGGGUUAAUACCCCGUGAAACUGACGGUACCUGCAGAAUAAGCACCGGCUAACUACGUGCCAGCAGCCGCGGUAAUACGUAGGGUGCAAGCGUUAAUCGGAAUUACUGGGCGUAAAGCGUGCGCAGGCGGUUCGGAAAGAAAGAUGUGAAAUCCCAGAGCUCAACUUUGGAACUGCAUUUUUAACUGCCGGGCUAGAGUGUGUCAGAGGGAGGUGGAAUUCCGCGUGUAGCAGUGAAAUGCGUAGGUAUGCGGAGGAACACCGAUGGCGAAGGCAGCCUCCUGGGAUAACACUGACGCUCAUGCACGAAAGCGUGGGGAGCAAACAGG
RNAcentral lists this ribosomal RNA (429 nucleotides) under Acidobacteriota bacterium. RNAcentral's name for it is "Acidobacteria bacterium partial 16S ribosomal RNA". It matches the Rfam family "Bacterial small subunit ribosomal RNA", at positions 355 to 776 of the family's 1533-position model. Lineage: Bacteria; Pseudomonadati; Acidobacteriota. The record is from RNAcentral.